GUAAAAAUGACUUUUAGGGAGCUACAAAUGUAUGAAAAAUCACACUAGAUAUUUUUGAGCAUGCAAGCACAUUAUCCAAUGGUUUACUUAAAGGUUAUUCAAGAUGAUAUACAUAUGUCUACAUGACCCUGUGCUAUUUUUUUAUUCUAUUUCUGAAAUAAACCUAAGUUGCUAUAUGUAUAAGUCAUACAUGUCCAGUGAGGAUUCUGGAAGGAAAAAAAAACUGAUACAUUCCAAAGGUUUCCCCCAAAACAAUUUCAGUGUGGAACUGUUUCCUGAGAUUUAGGAAUGCUUACAGGAAGCCUUUCAGGGGAUAGUGAAGUGUCCUUUGAUUAAGAUCAUCUGAAAGUGCUCACUAUUCCAAGAACUAGGAGAGCAAGGAAAGUAAUUGAACUGUAGGAGGCAGAUAAGAUCUGGCAUCAUCAAGGAGUUGCUGCCCAAGAAACAUGAACCCAGACAGAAAUGCA
This 467-nucleotide long non-coding RNA is filed under the name Marmota monax (woodchuck). The record is from RNAcentral. Lineage: Eukaryota; Metazoa; Chordata; Mammalia; Rodentia; Sciuridae.